AGAAACUUCAUCUGCAUUGGCUUCGGCAAAGCAGAAAUUUAUUAGCUUACAAGGGAGAGUGGAUUGUCAUUGAGACAUAUGUUCUGCUUACGUGGAGAGUAACUUGAGCAACGUUACCCACCUCUAUGUGGAAACACAGGUUUAUUUAGUAUGUUGAAAUUCCAGACAUAACUAUCUGUUCAGUAGCAGUGGUUCCUAUAAGACAACAACUUCACUGUUCAUUUUGUGCUAGUAGAAUGGAACUUCACGGACCUUGGAGAAGCAUACUCCAAACACUACAAAUGAUGGUUAUACUUUGGAGAGAUGCUAAGACAGCAGAUGCUAAAAUCCAGAUACCUUUUGUGAAUAUGAGGCAUAUCUACUGGGAACACAUCAUAAUAAUCUGUUGAGGUAAACAUUAAAGAUGGUGGCAAUAAGCAGUUGGAGAAAAAGAAAAAUAUCAACAUGCAAGGCACCAUUGUUUUCUUGCUUCUUAAUUGUAACUUUUUAUUUUUUGUGUAUAUGGCUAUCACAGAGAUUUAAAAA
This 525-nucleotide long non-coding RNA is filed under the name Homo sapiens (human). RNAcentral describes it as "non-protein coding LINC00571:5". The record is from RNAcentral. Lineage: Eukaryota; Metazoa; Chordata; Mammalia; Primates; Hominidae.